Molecule: long non-coding RNA, 958 nt
Filed under: Gallus gallus (chicken)
Lineage: Eukaryota; Metazoa; Chordata; Aves; Galliformes; Phasianidae
Source: RNAcentral
UCCAAAUAAAGCUGCCCCUGCUGUGUGUACGCACUGGACAGCAUAUGUGCUGCCACAAACCAGUGGGACAUUAAGGAGUGGGGGAAUUGCUGCAAAAUUUGAAAGAAGGGACCAACACUUGCAGAUAACAGGAGGACCUACCAGUAAUCCCUCAUACAGUUCAGUGAUUUUUAGCCACCGUAUAUAGAAAGGCUAAUGCUCAGUAAGCAGCCUGCAGUAUGGUAGGGCAGGGAGUUCCACAGUUUUACUCUGCACUGUUGUGUUAAGAAGUCAUUUAUUUUGCUUAUUUUCAGUUCUACUGCCUGAUAAUUACACUGAGCUCCCUCCUUCAAGAACAAAGUAGAGCUCCUGGGAGAAAUAGUCAUUUCCUAUUUAGAUUUUCCACAUCAUAACUGAAUUUGUUGCUCCCAGUGAUUAUUACUUCUUUGAGUUCUGUUGAACCUCUUCUGCCUGUUCCAAAAGCCUGGAUAUUCAGGGUAUAAAGAAGAAGAAAGGAAGAGAAAGAGGCUGGACAGUGCUGGUCCUUACUGUAAUGUGCAAAUUCAGGAUUGAUCACUUACAUAUGCUUAGUGUUUCUGGGUAACUGGCACUUGAAAUCUGGACCAUAAGCCAAGUGCUGUGAAGAGGUCUGGACCUUAGACUGAUGGAAGGCAGAAUCUGUGUCCUGAUACAGAAGCCACUGUAGAAGAGUCAUUUCAGGAUGGGAAUAAGAUGAGGUAUUUUGUUGGUGUUGAUUUUUCAUCUCUCCUGGAAUAAAGAGAUAAUAAAAGUUCAUUCCUUGUGCUGAAUAACAACUCUCAGGAACUUCUGCCAAACAAAACUUUCCUCUUGUAAAAUCUUUAAGUGAUUAUAUUGAAAACAGAUGAUAGAAAAGGUAGAGAGUGUGAUUCGUAAACAGAUUCCUUAGCUGUGUGUCAUAAUUUCCAACAACGGUCAGUGUAAGGCAGCAAAGUUGUUU